GACGAACGCUGGCGGCGUGCUUAACACAUGCAAGUCGAACGGAAAGGCCCUGCUUUUGUGGGGUGCUCGAGUGGCGAACGGGUGAGUAACACGUGAGUAACCUGCCCUUGACUUUGGGAUAACUUCAGGAAACUGGGGCUAAUACCGGAUAGGAGCUCCUGCUGCAUGGUGGGGGUUGGAAAGUUUCGGCGGUUGGGGAUGGACUCGCGGCUUAUCAGCUUGUUGGUGGGGUAGUGGCUUACCAAGGCUUUGACGGGUAGCCGGCCUGAGAGGGUGACCGGCCACAUUGGGACUGAGAUACGGCCCAGACUCCUACGGGAGGCAGCAGUGGGGAAUAUUGCACAAUGGGCGGAAGCCUGAUGCAGCACCGCCGCGUGCGGGAUGACGGCCUUCGGGUUGUAACCCGCUUUCGCCUGUGACGAAGCGUGAGUGACGGUAAUGGGUAAAGAAGCACCGGCUAACUACGUG
RNAcentral lists this ribosomal RNA (468 nucleotides) under uncultured bacterium. RNAcentral's name for it is "partial 16S ribosomal RNA". It matches the Rfam family "Bacterial small subunit ribosomal RNA", at positions 28 to 507 of the family's 1533-position model. The record is from RNAcentral.